This 3939-nucleotide long non-coding RNA is filed under the name Brassica rapa (field mustard). Its description in RNAcentral is "long non-coding RNA (BRAP_LNC001014)". The record is from RNAcentral. Lineage: Eukaryota; Viridiplantae; Streptophyta; Magnoliopsida; Brassicales; Brassicaceae.
GUCAGAUCUCUUAGAAACACAAAGAGUUAUAAGAACAACUUUUCUUAUUAGCUUUAGAAACUACUCAAAACUAAAGCUCUCAAUAUGUUUCACUUAGAUCAUAUAGAACACCUCUCCAUUAGACCUAUAUUUAUAUGAAAGACAAUUCCCUUUAACAUGUGGGAUAUGGAAAACACAAACCUAACCUAAAUAGAAACUUCCUUUUCCUAUUUCUAGGUUUCCUUAUUGUGUUUAUCUUAACAUAUUAAACAUCUAAUAAUAUGUUAAGUUUCCACAAGCUUGGAAUUAUCCAACAUUCACCCCCUUAAUUCCAACUUGAAUUAGGGAGAUCAAUUUCUUGAACUCCGAUUAAGCUCCUCAUUUGCUUGAACUUAAUCAUCAAGUAAUCAUCCUCCACCACACCAUGGUGUGCGAAUCCACCCAUUGAAUUCACAUCUUUCUCAAGGUUAGACCGGAUGCUCUCCUUGCUUCCGUACCGCUUCUUCUUAGAAUCGGCCCAGUUCUUGUAUAACCUUCUCAUGACCUCUUCACUUAAGUUGCGAUGAGUCUUGUGGCUGAAGCUCACUGCGAUGAUAACUCUGGUCACAUCCGCCAUCUUGCGUACAUGAGCUCUGGGAAGGAUGUCGGCCUUCUGCUCAACACCCAACUGAUUUAUCUCUGGUUCAUCUUCAUCCUUUGAGAACCUUGACUCCAUUGGUACAUGCGUUGUGUCACACGCUUCCACCUUUGUGUCACACACUCCUCCGUGAGUCGUGUUGCACACUCCUACGUGAGUCGUGUUACACACUUCCAUCUUUGUGUCACACAGGAUUCCUUGAGCAUACCUCUCUUGCUUUAUUCUGAUUCCGUCUGCUCCUUGAAUCACCUCUAUGCCAAGGUAGUACGUUAGCUUACCUAGAUCUGACAUCUCGAACUUCUUAGACAUCUCCUCCUUGAAUUGCCUAAUCACCUUAAGCGAAGUUCCUGUCACAAAUAGAUCAUCAACGUAGAUGGCUAUGAUCAAGACGUCUCCUCCUUGAGUCUUGCAGUACACUGAUGGUUCCUUCGUGCACUUCUCAAAUCUCAUCUCCUUGAGAACCUGAUCGAGUUUUACACUCCAUGCUCUGGGUGCCUGGCGUAACACAUGCAACGUCUUGUGUAACACACAAACUCGAUCAUCUUCUCCUUUCUUCUCAGAACCAGUCGGUCUAUCUUCAAGCUCCCAUAUCUUGUUUCUUGUGAUAGACUCCAACUCGUCUUCCAUAGCUUCAACCCAAUCUUCUUCACAAGAUAGGUUGAACUCAUCUGAGGCAAUCUCUCCUCCUCUAUCGGUGCAUCCUAGAUUGAGCACAUCUGAGGCAACCUCUCCUCCUCUAUCGGUGCAACCUAGAUUGAACAUAGCUGAGGCAACCUCUCCUCCUCUAUCGGUGUGAGAUCUUUUGAACCGAUAGAAUGCCUCACGAUUAUCUGCUGGUGUUGGUGGUGUGAUACAUCCACACAAAUUUCCAAGCAAUAAUCUCACUGGCUUUGAUGUACAAAUCAUGGCCUUAGUCAGGAAUGUGUCUCUGGCUUGCUUCCCUGCGAGACAUGUGUCACACACGCCUUCUUUGUGUGUUACACUCGGGAAUGAGUGUCUCGUUUGCUUCUCUGCGAGACAUGUGUCACACACGCCUUCUUCGUGUGUUACACUCUGCAUUCCUACGACCAUCUCCUUCCUUACCAUGUUGUUCAUCACUCCAUAGCAUAUAUGUCCUUGUCGAGCAUGCCACCUCCAUGUAGCAUCUUCGUCCCUGACAUGUAAACAUUCCGGGUAGCUUAUCUCCAUAGGGGUCUUGUAGAGACGGUUUGGAGAUCUUGUCACACGAACUAGCAACCUUCCAUGCGAAUCUGUGAGCGUUAAGUAGACAUCUUUCAUGUUAACCUCACAUCCGUUCUCUGUUGCUUGCCCAAGACUUAAUAUAUUGUGCUUCAGAUCAGGUAUGUAGUAUAUGUCCUUGAGUGCCUUCUUCUCUCCAGUCUUGCACACAAAUGUAACCACACCCUUUCCUACAAUGUCAACACACGAUCCAUCACCAAACUUCACCUUCCCUUUGGUGUUGAGAUUCAAACUCGAAAAGAACUCCUUGUUCCCUGUCAUGUGAUUGCUCGCUCCAUUAUCCAAAUACCAGACACUUGCAUCGCCUUUGUUGAUAUCAAGAUUCUUCGGAAUCACCUUAUCUUCAUUCAAAAACACCACCUCGUGUACAUAGAGUGCAUCAGCCUCUUCUGUCUCGUUUAAGUUAGUUUCUUGAUUCUUCUCUGUCUUUUCGGGACAGACAGUUGCGUAGUGACCAGGCUUGUCACAUCUCCAACAUAUCAGCUUUGAACGAUUCUUCUUCGAGUUGUUAUCUUCGGUGUGUGACGCACGGUUUUGGUUGUGUGACCUACCUCGACCUCUGCCUCUACCGUUCCGUCCUCUUCCUCUACCACGGGAAUUCUCAUAGCCCCUCUGACUAUGCUCUUCAUUGUUCGAAAACAUCAGCUUCCCUUGGUCUUCUUUCUGAGUUUCUUCUCCUACACGCUCCUCGUACGCCUUAAGCCUUCCUACUAUGUCUUCAAACCCCGUCGAGUUGAGAUCUAGGACUUGCUCAAGUGAUGCUACGAUCUGGAUAUACUUGUGUCUUGGAAGACCCUUCAAGAACUUCUUGACCAUCUUGGAUUCUUCUAUGUUUUCUCCCAAUGAGGUUGCUUUGGAUGAUAGGCCCGAUAUCUUCCCCGCGAAGUCAUCGACCGUAUCUGCAUCAUCCAUCUUCAACCUAUCAAACUCUGUCAUCAACGUCUGAAGUCUCGCCUCCCUUACACGAUCAGCUCCUAGGUGUCGUGACUUGAUGGCGUUCCAGAUCUCUUUUGAUGCGGUUUGUUCUCCCACCUGGAGAAUCAAUGUUUCGGGAACAGAUUGAAACAAAAGAGCUAUUGCAACAUCGUUCUUCUUUUGAUCAUCUGAACCGGGUUCGAUUGUGUCCCACACUUCAUGAACACGUAGUAGAACCUUCAUCCUCAUCGACCAAACUGUGUAGUUUGUCGAUGACAACAUCGGACAUUGGAUGGAUGUAGAUCCAAAGUCCUUCGUGCGUGGAGCCCUAGUCACGUCAGCCAUCUUGCCGUCGCGAUAUCUUGUUCACAAGCACCAGGAUCUUAAGCUACAACUUAAGCUUAGAUCGAGUCUCCAACCUGAGGCUCUGAUACCAAUUCAGAUCUCUUAGAAACACAAAGAGUUAUAAGAACAACUUUUCUUAUUAGCUUUAGAAACUACUCAAAACUAAAGCUCUCAAUAUGUUUCACUUAGAUCAUGUAGAACACCUCUCCAUUAGACCUAUAUUUAUAUGAAAGACAAUUCCCUUUAACAUGUGGGAUAUGGAAAACACAAACCUAACCUAAAUAGAAACUUCCUUUUCCUAUUUCUAGGUUUCCUUAUUGUGUUUAUCUUAACAUAUUAAACAUCUAAUAAUAUGUUAAGUUUCCACAAGCUUGGAAUUAUCCAACACAUAGCUCUUCUUCUUGGAGCUCUCGGGUCGGGUGGGAUCCGACCAUGUGUUGUUGCUUUCGGUGCGGAUCAGUUCGACGAGUCGGAUCCUAAGCAAACCACCAAAACCUGGAACUACUUCAACGGGUACUUAUUAAAUACUUUUCUUGAUAUAUUAUACAUAAAAAUAAAAUUAUUAGAUUCCUUUCGUAGAUUCCUAGCUAAGAUGACUUUGUAAUACUACUAUGAUGUAAAAAAAGGAUGAGCAUGGAUCCUAAGCAAACCACUAAAACAAAUCUCUUAAUUAUAGGUCUCUAAGUAAAAAAUAAGUAAUCAUAUAGAUGUCCAAAAGUCGUAUUUUUGAGUUAUGAGCAUGUGUUUAAUGGAUAUAGUAGUUUCUUUCUAGUUAACUAUGUAGAUAUUAUAAGUUAUAAACCGAAAUAAUUAUAAUUUUCUCG